AACUUUCAACAACGGAUCUCUUGGUUCCGGCAUCGAUGAAGAACGCAGCGAAAUGCGAUAAUUAAUGUGAAUUGCAGAAUUCAGUGAAUCAUCGAGUCUUUGAACGCACAUUGCGCCCCCUGGUAUUCCGGGGGGCAUGCCUGUCCGAGCGUCAUUG
Molecule: ribosomal RNA, 157 nt
Filed under: Aspergillus amstelodami
Lineage: Eukaryota; Fungi; Ascomycota; Eurotiomycetes; Eurotiales; Aspergillaceae
Also listed under: 5 other names
Description: 5.8S ribosomal RNA
Rfam family: 5.8S ribosomal RNA
About the family: 5.8S ribosomal RNA (5.8S rRNA) is a component of the large subunit of the eukaryotic ribosome. It is transcribed by RNA polymerase I as part of the 45S precursor that also contains 18S and 28S rRNA.
Source: RNAcentral